This is a long non-coding RNA of Perognathus longimembris pacificus (Pacific pocket mouse), 840 nucleotides long. RefSeq lists it as uncharacterized. Lineage: Eukaryota; Metazoa; Chordata; Mammalia; Rodentia; Heteromyidae. The transcript has 3 exons. The record is from RefSeq and is a predicted model, not a curated record.
UUCAAAAAGACACGUACUGGGAAGAGGGAGGGAACAAGAGGGAGAAUGAGGGAGAAAGUGACUCUGAUCAUGAUACAUUGUAUACAUAAAUGGAUAUGUUAAUAUAAAACAUGAAGAGAAAGGAAUCGGUGGAAAUGGGACGGAGGGAGAAAGAAAGAAAAAUACUGUAUUUUGGUUUAGAUGUCAAAUAUAUUUGUUUAGAUUUCAAAUACAGAAGAGAAGGACAUGGCAACAAAUAGAGGACUAUUGGAGGAGAGUAGUGGCAGGAGAGAGAAAAUAAUCAAAGUAUAUCACAUGUACAUAUGAAGGAUCAUAAUGAAAUCUAUAUAAAAUUUUUUUAAGAAAGUUGAUGAUUAAGUAGCACAGUUUCUACUGAUUUAUACAUCUAGCACAAAUUGCAUAACAUUAUAAAUAAACACCACCAGAAACCAAAUGGUCUCAAGGAAGCUUGCAGAUGUUUUAUGUUACAUGUGGAACAUCUCUUGGAAAGAAUCACUCUUUAGAAAGUAGACAGCAAGAAUGAAAAUGAAGAAAGGAAAAUGAAGAUAAGUGAGUUGUAAGGAUAAUACACUUAAGAUUCUACUCUGCAAUAAACAGGAAAUAUCUCCCAGUUUUCUAAUAAUACAUAUAUAUUUAUAUGUGUGUACCUUAGAAAGACUAUAUAAAUGAGAAUUCGGAGUUUUACUGUUUUCAAGUUAUAAGGACCUAAUAUACUAAUAACAAAUAAAACCAUGCAUGAGGACUCUAUAACCAAGACAAAAUUAAAGAUAUGUAAAGCAUAUCUGUAGGUGAAAAAGUAGUAAUUUCUCUGGGGGCUGGGAAUAUGGCCUAGUGGCAAGA